RNAcentral lists this ribosomal RNA (253 nucleotides) under uncultured bacterium. Its description in RNAcentral is "partial 16S ribosomal RNA". It matches the Rfam family "Bacterial small subunit ribosomal RNA", at positions 524 to 776 of the family's 1533-position model. The record is from RNAcentral.
UACGUAGGAUCCGAGCGCUGUCCGGAAUUACUGGGUGUAAAGGGCGUGUAGGUGGGUCUCUAAGUCGAUGGUGAAAUCCUGCAGCUUAACUGUAGAAUUGCCUUCGAUACUGGAGAUCUUGAGUGCGGCAGAGGGAGAUGGAAUUCAUGGUGUAGCGGUGAAAUGUGUAGAUAUCAUGAAGAACACCGGUAGCGAAGGCGGUCUCCUGGUCCGUAACUGACACUGAGGCGAGAAAGCGUGGGGAGCGAACAGG